This 305-nucleotide ribosomal RNA is filed under the name uncultured bacterium. RNAcentral describes it as "bacterial SSU rRNA". It matches the Rfam family "Bacterial small subunit ribosomal RNA", at positions 334 to 653 of the family's 1533-position model. The record is from RNAcentral.
GCAUCCUACGGGAGGCAGCAGUAGGGAAUUUUCGUCAAUGGGCGCAAGCCUGACCCAGCAACGCCGCGUGAAGGAAGAAGGCUUUCGGGUUGUAAACUUCUUUUCUCAGGGACGAAGAAAGUGAUGGUACCUGAGGAAUAAGCCACGGCUAACUACGUGCCAGCAGCCGCGGUAAUACGUAGGUGGCAAGCGUUAUCCGGAUUUAUUGGGUGUAAAGGGCGUGUAGGCGGGAGCGCAAGUCAGAUGUGAAAACUCAGGGCUCAACCCUGAGCCUGCAUUUGAAACUGUGUUUCUUGAGUGCUGGG